This is a non-coding RNA of Coprinopsis sp. MPI-PUGE-AT-0042, 84 nucleotides long. NCBI's taxonomy places the organism in Eukaryota, Fungi, Basidiomycota, Agaricomycetes, Agaricales, Psathyrellaceae. The record is from the annotation of a GenBank genome assembly.
GGCCUUAUGGUCUAGUAGUAUGAUUCCUCGUUUGGGCAUCCGUUUAAUUCGAGGAGGUCAUGGGUUCAAUUCCCAUUGAGGCCC